UAAGCGUCAUCAAAAGUCAGACAAAGGC
RNAcentral lists this non-coding RNA (28 nucleotides) under Mus musculus (house mouse). Lineage: Eukaryota; Metazoa; Chordata; Mammalia; Rodentia; Muridae. The record is from RNAcentral.